GUUGAGCUGAGUUGCAAAUCGACUGAGUUGAUUGAGCCGUUUGCCUCAAGAUCAAAUUCUGGCCAAAAUAUUAGCCCCUGUUCCUCCUCCAACUUCAGGAUGUAUCCUGAGAACCAGCUUCCCUCCCCUGCAGCAUCUCUGGCACCUGCUCUACUGUCCCUUCUUUAUUGAUUCAUCCAUUCAACACAAAUGUACUGAGCAGCCACCUGGGUCAGACACACCGCUAGGGACUGAGGAUGGAGGAGUGGACAAGGAGGACCCAUCCCUGGCUGCCGGGAGCCUACAGUCUAGUGGAGGAAACAGACACCAGAGAACUAACCAUACUGACUAAUGAAUGACGACUGUGGUAUUGCUGGUCUGAGUGCCCCUGCUAUAAAGCAAGGAGUGUCAGUGCGGACUCUGCAGCCAGAAAGCCAGAAAUGUGCUCCCCUGUUGGGGAGAUAAAAGAGCUCUCGGGAGCACCGGGGAUGAAGAAGCUUGUUAAGGAAUGAGAAUAAGGCGGAGAAGACCAGAAAGGUAAGCUGUCGCACAGCAAUCUGUCCCAGCAGGAAAUACCGACUGUGAAGAUACAGAGCUGCCUUCGGAUUCUAGUCGUCUCCAGAACCACACAAACGACUGUGCACGAGAGAUUCAAUGGGCACAGGCAGCCUUUGACUGAGGCUGGACUCCUGCUUGUUACCCCGGCAACUGUGAUGGUCCUUAUUAAGACAACAGGGAUGCUUCCAAGCACCAAGAGGGUAGGGAACUAGGUGGUGGUUGUUAGUGCUAUGGAGU
This is a long non-coding RNA of Equus quagga, 774 nucleotides long. RefSeq lists it as uncharacterized. The record is from RefSeq and is a predicted model, not a curated record. The transcript has 3 exons. Lineage: Eukaryota; Metazoa; Chordata; Mammalia; Perissodactyla; Equidae.